Molecule: long non-coding RNA, 527 nt
Filed under: Homo sapiens (human)
Lineage: Eukaryota; Metazoa; Chordata; Mammalia; Primates; Hominidae
Description: HSALNT0064399
Source: RNAcentral
CUUGGAUAGAUGAAAAGCAGAACUGUUUGCUACUUACUGCUUCAAAUAAGAGAAGGCUAUGAGGCAGGGCCACUCUGGGAGUUGUGCUAAGGACAAGGUCACAGCAAACUGGAGCCAGAAGUGGGCAGCUUAUGAAUGGCAAGUGGGGUGGGUUUAGCUACAUCUACCCCAUCCAUGGAACUAAAUUUUUCUGAUGUAAAGCCAAUUGCUGGAGAGAGAUUCACUGGGGAUCACUUCUGUUGAAGGAAUAAGAUGAAUUUGUGAAAAAUUUUGAAACUCUAUUAGAGGAUUUGGAUGCAGUGUGCAGUGUCAGCUAUUGUAACACUUUAUAGUUGAAAUGCACAUAAUAUAUAUUACUGUUAUAAAAUGCCUUGCUGUGAAUAUUAAAUAAAAACAGCCUAGAUAAAGUGGAGAGGUUACUAAACAAGAUAUGUGGAUUUACAGAACAUCAUUCUUGUUCCAAAUAUAAUAAAGAUAUACAAACCAAUAUUUAUUCCUUUAAAUGUUAUAAAUACUUUCUAAGCACC